Molecule: long non-coding RNA, 726 nt
Organism: Pseudophryne corroboree (corroboree frog)
Lineage: Eukaryota; Metazoa; Chordata; Amphibia; Anura; Myobatrachidae
Exons: 3
Source: RefSeq, a predicted model, not a curated record
GCAUGGGCUGAUUGGGACGCUGAGACGCCGAACCACUUCCUGCUUGGCUGGUCAUAUUGUCCCCUUAGUGGGCUAACUCACCCCUCCUCCUGGCUGCCUGCAGCAAUCGGAGCUCCGGCGUGUAGCCUUGGUAACGGCCCCUGCAUAGCCACUGUCAGUGAUGCUGCAGUCCGUGCAGCACUUCCUACUACUACAAGCCCUGCCCCUGCAUGUCUUCAUGCAGGGGGCGGGUUCAGCACUCGGCACUGCUACAGGCCUGCAUGAGAUGUGAGCAGCCUACAGAGGCCGGAAGAGGAGAGGUACAGUACAGUUGCAGCAGACAAAAGGAUAUCAUCUUUGUUUUUAUCACAUACGCUAAGAAGAAUGGGUCAGUUUUUCAGAAAGGACUCCAAACAGUGUGACGUCAGCUCCGGCCUUCGCACUUGAGGAUGAUACCAUGCUUAAUAUGCAGGGGCACAUCAUAUUUCUUUCCAUCUAGAUGCUGGUAUUAUUCUACCAUCAACAGGCUAAGAAGCCAGACUGAUUAUAGUAGGUCUUUCUGCAAAAGAGCGGAACAUCAGACCGCAGGGAUCACAGCUGACAGCAAGAAGCCCCUCCUCUUGGUUCAUUACAAGUAAAUUGGAGAUGGGUGUUGCACACACAAAAGUUAUUAUAAAAUUACACAAACCCAUCUCAAUAUACUCCACAGUAUGAUCUUAUAGCUUUAGACUGUAUGUAUGACAACAA